This 314-nucleotide ribosomal RNA is filed under the name uncultured eukaryote. RNAcentral describes it as "partial 18S ribosomal RNA". It matches the Rfam family "Eukaryotic small subunit ribosomal RNA", at positions 1470 to 1796 of the family's 1831-position model. The record is from RNAcentral.
CCCUUAGAUGUUCUGGGCCGCACGCGCGCUACACUGAUGCAUUCAACGAGUUUUUCCUGGUCCGAGAGGAAUGGGUAACCUUUUGAAAGUGCAUCGUGCUAGGGAUAGACUAUUGCAAUUAUUGGUCUUCAACGAGGAAUUCCUAGUAGACGUAGUUCAUCAGACUGCAUCGAUUACGUCCCUGCCCUUUGUACACACCGCCCGUCGCUCCUACCGAUUGAAUGGUCCGGUGAAGCCUCCGGAUUGGCGCGCACCUCGGUGCCGCCGAGAAGUUGGCUAAACCUUACCAUUUAGAGGAAGGUGAAGUCGUAACA